Molecule: transfer RNA, 77 nt
Filed under: Alteromonas sp.
Lineage: Bacteria; Pseudomonadati; Pseudomonadota; Gammaproteobacteria; Alteromonadales; Alteromonadaceae
Description: tRNA-Arg
Rfam family: tRNA
About the family: Transfer RNA (tRNA) molecules are approximately 80 nucleotides in length.
Source: RNAcentral
GCGCCCGUAGCUCAGCUGGAUAGAGCAACGGCCUUCUAAGCCGUGGGUCGCAGGUUCGAAUCCUGCCGGNCGCGCCA